CCAGAUAAUUAUUCUCUUUGAGGCAAGAAAAGUAAAUGAGUGCAAUUUUUGUCUCUAUCAUUUCAAUACUUUAUAUUCUUGUGAUAGGCCAACAAAAUGGACGAUACAUUGGAGAAAGAGAAUCCGCCAUCUGAAGUAAACGUUUCUAAUGAAGCUGGAAUUCGGCUACGGUUGAGAGACAGAGACCUGCUGAAGAAACGAAAGGCUGAGGCAGAGGAAAAGGCAACCAACCAGUGGGUGUCUGGGUAAAGAUAACAUUGAUAUGGGAACAAAGCCUUAAAAGAGCAAAAAAGUGGUCCAGUGCCAGUGGUACCCCUGGAAGAAAAGGUCGUCCAAGAAAACAGCCUCCGGUAGUUGUGUCAGAAGAUUUUAGUGUGGUUCAGGAAACAGAUCCUCCCUCCAUCACACCACCUGUAUUACCCACAGAAGCUGAAACAGCAACUCCACAACCAGCACCAGUGUCUGUGGAAACAAUAAAGGAAAAAACACUCAAGACGUUUUUCAUUGAGGAUUUAGGACCUGAUGAGGAGGAAGACAUGCCUUUAUCUCAAAAAAGGCUUGUCAUUGAUUCAGAUAUAGGUGAACCGCGUACUGAUGUGCCUGAACAGAUUCAAAUCUCAGUGCCAGCGUUCGCUCCAGCUACUGCUCCGUCCUAUCCAGAAAGCCUACCUGAGAAUGUACCUGAGCCCCUUAUUUGAGUACCUGCUCUGUACAAUGCAAAAAAGCAACUAACAUGUUAGCCAAAAUAUUUUUAUUGGAACUCUAGAACAACAACAUACAGUAUAUUUAUUCAAAUUGUUCAUGUUUUUUUUGUGUAUGCUACUCAUCAAACACAAGUUUAAACAUAAAACACAAAUUAAAAAAAUUGAUUUUACAGUAUAUCACUGUUGCCCCUCUCUGAGGUUAAAACUUUUAAGGCUCUGUGACAAAUAAUCUGUUCAUAUGUAACUGACUAUUUGAAAUAAAACAACUUCUAUACAUUGUCUUUGUAUCUUUGUUCCUUACAUUGUCUUCUAAUAACAUCUUCUCAAUUUAAAUUGCUGUGUUUAGGGAGAAUAAAAACACAAAAGGUUGUUUUGGCAAGUUCAG
Long non-coding RNA from Triplophysa rosa, 1089 nucleotides. RefSeq lists it as uncharacterized. The transcript has 4 exons. Lineage: Eukaryota; Metazoa; Chordata; Actinopteri; Cypriniformes; Nemacheilidae. The record is from RefSeq and is a predicted model, not a curated record.